GCCGGGCGUGGUGGCUCAUGCCUGUAAUCCCAACACUUUGGGAGGCCGAGGUGGGUGGAUCACUUGAGGUCAGGAGUUCGAGACCAGCCUGGCCAACAUGGUGAAACCCCAUCUCUA
Molecule: small RNA, 117 nt
Filed under: Pongo abelii (Sumatran orangutan)
Lineage: Eukaryota; Metazoa; Chordata; Mammalia; Primates; Hominidae
Description: Metazoan signal recognition particle RNA (ENSPPYG00000037695.1)
Source: Rfam by way of RNAcentral